AUAUAUAAGUUUCUUAAUCUUUAUCUUCAUCAUAAACAAUCGUCUUCUUCCUACGGCCAUUCUUCUCUGCUUAGUGUUAGGGUUUUGAUUCAUAGUGUGUAGUCCUUUUCGAUUUCUUCGUAGUGGAUUUAUUGGCGUCGAAUACUGAUUACGAGCAACCGCGAGACUUCGUUUCAUAAUCGGCUGCUUCGUAUGAGCCGACGCGAUAACUGUUCCAAUUCUGUGAACUGCAGAGUGAUAAUAGUUGCAUACGUGCUCUGAAGAUGGAAGUGAUGAUACUUUCCCCAAACGAUCGACGCUGAUUAUACUAUGCUGGUGCUCUUAGCACUUUGAAUCUGAUCCAUCUUCCAGCAUAUCCGUUUAUAUUCUUUAAAAUCAGAAUUAAGAAUAUCCUCUUUUAGUUUUUAUAUAUAUAUAUUUUAACGUCUUUCGCUUUCUGAGUCUAGAAUUGAGGUGGUUUAAUUGUAAUAGUUCAUUAUCUAGACUGCUUGUGAUCAAUUUCCUUCGGGAUAAAUGCGCAACAAUUUCCAGCCUGGUAGAAGUUUUUAGACCUCGAUGAAUUUAUGUAAUCAAUUACCAACUACCUACCUGUUUCUGGGUAUUCAAGAAUGUUUUGUUAAUACUCAUUCAAAUGAUAUUGUUUCUGUUUACAGCGAAUUGCUAUUUGGACAUGAGAUUUACGG
Long non-coding RNA from Cucurbita pepo subsp. pepo (vegetable marrow), 683 nucleotides. RefSeq lists it as uncharacterized. Lineage: Eukaryota; Viridiplantae; Streptophyta; Magnoliopsida; Cucurbitales; Cucurbitaceae. The record is from RefSeq and is a predicted model, not a curated record.